RNAcentral lists this ribosomal RNA (121 nucleotides) under Thomisidae sp. D MACT-2017. RNAcentral describes it as "partial 16S ribosomal RNA". Lineage: Eukaryota; Metazoa; Arthropoda; Arachnida; Araneae; Thomisidae. The record is from RNAcentral.
UCGUCUGUUCGACUUUUAAACAAUUACAUGAAUUGAGUUCAGACCGGUGCAAACCAGGUCGGUUUCUAUCUUUUUACAUUUCUCACAGUACGAAAGGACCCAAGAAAAUAAUAUUAUUAAU